GAUGAAGAACGUAGCGAAAUGCGAUAAGUAGUGUGAAUUGCAGAAUUCAGUGAAUCAUCGAAUCUUUGAACGCACAUUGCGCCCCUUGGUAUUCCAUGGGGCAUGCCUGUUCGAGCGUCAUUUGUACCCUCAAGCUUUGCUUGGUGUUGGGCGUCUUGUCUUGUAUUAGACUCGCCUUAAAGUCAUUGGCAGCCAGUGUUUUUGGUAGUAAGCGCAGCACAUUUUGCGUCUUAGUCCUUGAAUCGUGGCAUCCAUGAAGCCUUUUUUCACUUUUGACCUCGGAUCAGGUAGGGAUACCCGCUGAACUUAAGCAUAUCAAUAAGCGGACGA
Molecule: unclassified non-coding RNA, 330 nt
Filed under: soil metagenome
Description: partial contains 5.8S ribosomal RNA, internal transcribed spacer 2, and large subunit ribosomal RNA
Rfam family: 5.8S ribosomal RNA (bases 1-120)
Source: RNAcentral